This 266-nucleotide signal recognition particle RNA is filed under the name Salmo trutta (river trout). RNAcentral's name for it is "Metazoan signal recognition particle RNA (ENSSTUG00000043363.1)". It matches the Rfam family "Metazoan signal recognition particle RNA". Rfam says of the family: The signal recognition particle (SRP) is a universally conserved ribonucleoprotein. It is involved in the co-translational targeting of proteins to membranes. The eukaryotic SRP consists of a 300-nucleotide 7S RNA and six proteins: SRPs 72, 68, 54, 19, 14, and 9. Lineage: Eukaryota; Metazoa; Chordata; Actinopteri; Salmoniformes; Salmonidae. The record is from RNAcentral.
GCCGGGCACGGUGGCGCGUGCCUGUAACCCAAGUUACCCGGAGGCUGAGGUUGGUGCAUUGUGUGAGCCGAGGCACUCUAUGUUGAACGGGUGUCUGCACUAAAUUCAGUAUCAAUAUAGUGCUCCUGGGGAGGCCGGGCCCUCCAGGUCGUCUAAGGAGGGCUGCACUGGCCCAGGUUGGAAAGAAAGCAGGUCAAAUCCCCGGUGUAGUGGGAUAGUGUCUCUGAGUACACUCUGCAGUGCAUCGUUCGCAAGACUUUAUCAUU